GCCUACGGGGGGCAGCAGUGAGGAAUAUUGGUCAAUGGCCGAGAGGCUGAACCAGCCAAGUCGCGUGAGGGAUGACGGCCCUACGGGUUGUAAACCUCUUUUGUCGGGGAGCAAGACCCGCCUCGUGCAGGCGGAGCGAGAGUACCCGAAGAAAAAGCAUCGGCUAACUCCGUGCCAGCAGCCGCGGUAAUACGGAGGAUGCGAGCGUUAUCCGGAUUUAUUGGGUUUAAAGGAUGCGCAGGCGGGCCAUCAAGUCAGCGGUAAAAUCGUGGCGCCCAACCCCAUCCCGCCGU
This 293-nucleotide ribosomal RNA is filed under the name uncultured bacterium. RNAcentral's name for it is "partial 16S ribosomal RNA". It matches the Rfam family "Bacterial small subunit ribosomal RNA", at positions 337 to 627 of the family's 1533-position model. The record is from RNAcentral.